This 59-nucleotide transfer RNA is filed under the name Salmo salar (Atlantic salmon). It matches the Rfam family "tRNA", at positions 8 to 63 of the family's 71-position model. From Rfam's summary of the family: Transfer RNA (tRNA) molecules are approximately 80 nucleotides in length. Their secondary structure includes four short double-helical elements and three loops (D, anti-codon, and T loops). Lineage: Eukaryota; Metazoa; Chordata; Actinopteri; Salmoniformes; Salmonidae. The record is from Rfam by way of RNAcentral.
UAGCUCAGUUGGUUAGAGCAUGGUGUUUGCAACACCAGGGUUGUGGGUUCGAUUCCCAC